ACAUACCUAUUUUCCUCGCUGCUAUUAAUUGCCAAUUUGAAACUAGAGCAAAUAUCAGACCAGCACACAAGACUUUCAAGCAAUUCCUUGUUUUUGCAAACAACAUCAUCAAAUUUAUAAUAAAGUAAAAUCAGAACAAAGCAAGUACGUCUCCUCCCAUAAAAACAUUCAUAUUUUAAAGUAUAUUUCAAACAGAAAACGGAAGAAUAGGAAGAUGUUUUUCCAAGGAAAAUUAGCAAACGCAUCUCGAUCUCAUUUCCGAGAAAUAUUUGCAUUUUCAUUAUUUACAUCCGCAAUAUGCCAUGGUUCUUUUACAGCUAAUUUUCAAGAAAAUAUUGGAAGGAGCUUGAUCAUAACAUAGCAAUAUUUCUGCCUUUCCUUUGUCAAAAUAUUUUUAUUUCAACAGAAGAACAUAUUGACGAUCAUAUUCAACGAGUGUAUUCA
Non-coding RNA from Paramuricea clavata, 444 nucleotides. The record is from the annotation of a GenBank genome assembly. Lineage: Eukaryota; Metazoa; Cnidaria; Anthozoa; Malacalcyonacea; Plexauridae.